Non-coding RNA from Pocillopora verrucosa, 635 nucleotides. NCBI's taxonomy places the organism in Eukaryota, Metazoa, Cnidaria, Anthozoa, Scleractinia, Pocilloporidae. The record is from RefSeq and is a predicted model, not a curated record.
GCAUUGAAACAAAGAUGGUGUUUACACAUACAGAUGGAGUUUACCACCACUGAGCACAGUGGGCUUUUGCUCUUCAAUGGACGACUGGCAUUAUCAUUGUUGACGACUGUAAACUUGCAGUGGCAGUGAAUUUUGGGACCAAAGCAGCCUCCGUCCCAUAUGCCACAUCACAGCAACUUCAAAUUAAAGAUGAAUCUGAAAAUUACAGGAGGGCUGACUGUCUACCAUCAUCACUCGAUUCGAAGGCAGAGGAGAGGAAAUAUGUUUCCAAUGUCCUAAAGGCAAAUGGCUAUACAAAAACUCUUCUCCGUAACUGCCAAAAACCAGUUACAAAUAGUAACGCUCUUGAUGAAAGUUCUUAUUAGCUCAGGAAUUAGCCAAAGAAGAUCCUAAAAAAAUGGAAGAAUUUUUCACGAUUUUAUUUCAAAAAUGAAUUUUGUAAAUUUUUGGAUUUUUUAAUAGGUGAGCUUUCUGAAGAAGAGCAUGCACAUAUUGCGCAGAGGAUUGGAUUAUCGUUGUUUAGGAGGUUAGCUCCACGACUAGGCCUAACUAGUAGUAAACUGGAAUGUUUAGAAAACGAGGUCAUGUGUCUGGAGUGUUAUAAUGCGGAUAAAUAAAAUGUGUGUAAAUUGAAA